UACAUGGGGUGCAAACGUUGCUCGGAAUUAUGGGGCGUAAAGCGCACGUAGGUGGCGACGUAAGUCGGGUGUGAAAGCCCCGGGCUCAACCUGGGAAUUGCAUUCGAGACUGCAUUGCUGGAGUACGGAAGAGGAAGGCGGAAUUCCCGGUGUAGCGGUGAAAUGCGUAGAUAUCGGGAGGAACAUCAGUGGCGAAGGCGGCCUUCUGGUCCAGUACUGACACUCAAGUGCGAAAGCGUGGGGAGCAAACAGG
This 253-nucleotide ribosomal RNA is filed under the name uncultured bacterium. Its description in RNAcentral is "partial 16S ribosomal RNA". It matches the Rfam family "Bacterial small subunit ribosomal RNA", at positions 524 to 776 of the family's 1533-position model. The record is from RNAcentral.